This is a long non-coding RNA of Tympanuchus pallidicinctus (lesser prairie-chicken), 3144 nucleotides long. RefSeq lists it as uncharacterized. The transcript has 4 exons. The record is from RefSeq and is a predicted model, not a curated record. NCBI's taxonomy places the organism in Eukaryota, Metazoa, Chordata, Aves, Galliformes, Phasianidae.
CUCUUACACCUCAUUUAAGGGCUGACUGCCACUGGGGAAGGGCCUCUGGUUGGAGAGCCCUCCUUGUUGGAGCUUUCCCUUGCAAACCUGGAAUCUUCUGAUACAGGUGAGACCCAGAAGUCCAGAAAGAAACUUCAAAAAGGAAGGAGCAUCUCAACCCAAGGCAGCGUAUCUCUGUCCGAAGGCCUUGCAAACAGAUGAGCAGAGGCUGCCUGAAGUUUGCUCAGCUAUGCCAUGGUACGUGGAGGUGGCUUGCAUUUCACCAGCACUUGUAGUGUGACUCACCCCAGGAAGAGGUUCCUCUGCUCGUGGUGGGUCCGGGCACUAAUGUUAUUACUGUAAUGGCCUGGGUUUGCAGCUUCACAUUCUUGUUGUCUCUCUCUUGGUUUCGGUCAAGGUACACUCAGAAUUUGUUUUUUUUUUUUUUGUGCCCACCUUAGCAGAAAAAUAACCAUGAGAAUUUAUAUCACUACAAUUCCUGUUCCCAAACAGGCUGUAGAUAAAUACUCCAAGCUGCAUCUGAUUUGAUUUAAGAUCUUAUUUCUCUUGCUGAGGUAUGUUUCCCUCGUGAGGAGGGCAGUCAUCAAAGCCAUGAUGAUUCACGCAGUUUUGCAAAGGGGUGGUUUGCCAGUUGUGUUCUCCCAAGCUGUUGCUAGGCUUGUGAAUCAGAUCUACCUUAUUCGUUCCCACAGAGCCAAGGACUUCAGCUGGAGCCGUGGCUGGGGGAGAUCUGAGUGGUAAUGAGGGUUGGGUCAGGAGGGGGAAUUUCCAUUCUGGGGGAAGUCCUGACACUCCCCAGCUCUUUUGUUAUGAAUUGGGAUGAAAAAGUGAAAUUUGGAAAUCUCCCAUGAGAUGUAUGUUUAGAAACUAGUCAGGAAAAAAGAAAAGUCUAAAUAAGACUAAAUGACGCUGAUUUGUUUCUACUUUCCUAUUGUAUAAAAAUGGAAAAACGAGACAUAGGGCAGUGAGAAAUAUCUGAAUGCACAAAUGCAAUACAGAUUUUAUAUGUGUAGCUGUGGAAGCAAAAAGACCAUAAUGAAAUGGAACACAUCAAUGCCAUUGAAAAGAACCACCGCGGCGGUGAUGAAACACCAUGUUUUGACAUUCUCCUGUUGUAAAAUUUCAUUGAAAUUGACAAACUGCCGAGAAAUAUUUUGAUUUUGAAUAGACUGUACUGGAUGAGAAAUUGCACUGUUGAAAAUUUUUCAGCUGGCUCCUUUGCAAACUGAGUAAACAGCUGACGAGCAGGCCAUCGUCGCUGCUGGAAACAGUGAGACAAACACGCGAGGGUCAAAUCCUGAGCAUUUCAGCAGUCACUCAUCAAAAUACCGUUUGACUUGAGCAGGAAGCUGGACUAAAUGUGAACGGCAGUGUUUGGCACACGGUGGGUGUCCAGAUGGCCUCGUGUUAGGCACUGCCUUCUGAGGGUGGAUCCCACCCAAGUUAUUAUCAAGGAUUCUUGCAACAGCCACGGGAGAGAUUGACAAGUCAGAUCGCCUUCAUUAGGAGCCAAAUUCGGGUCUGCUAAAUCACCCUCUAAAUUUCAAGCAGAUGAAAGACGCUGAAGGAGGAGGAAGAUGGCAAGAAGCGUUGUUCACUGGAAUGCAUGUACUGGAACUCACACUCACGUCUUCUGCUGGAGGGACCUCUGCCAAGGGAGAACAUCACUUCUCAGGAACUGCUGGUUCGAAUUGCCACUUAAUCUCUUCAAAUUGGCUUUCGUGUACACCCGUGGCACAUGGACCUCAGCAGUCUGCAGAACACAAGGAAGAUUCCAUCCUGAGUCCCAGAGACGCCUUCAUCUCUGUAUCUAUGCAGCCCCAACCUGUGGCAGCUCUGUGGCCAUCCUAAGCACGCGAUGCUGGUGAGAUUCAAAGCUCUGAAGAAGCGGUCUUGGCAUGACUGUCUGCUGCUGAGUUUGCUGGAGAAAUUAAAACUUGUCUUACAGAAGAUGGACUCACUGGUUUUAUUAAUAUUGCAAAAUAGCUAGAUUUGACAAGCAGCCAAGAGCAGAGCUAGUCCCUUUCCCAGCCACAGGUUGUCUUAUAGUGAACCCUUCUUUCACUUGGCAGUGCACUGCAAAUGUGAGAACCAUGCCUCCUCCUGCCAUGGCUCUCACAUUACCCUCAUCUCCACCACGCUGUCCAACUCAGCUUAGCUGAGCAUGGAAGCUGCCUCCUCACCCAAGCCUGCAGUGCUUAGCCAGGUGUGCCUGGCUGGAUGAGGGAGGGGGACACCGCGUAUCCUGAUGGCAAGCACUGUGUCUGUAAUAGGAGGUGCCAUGAGCUGCUCACAUUGGCCAAAUGUCCCAUGGUUGGUUGAGAUGACCCUUCACCUUUGUCUGAAGGGUCACAGCUUGGCUUUUCUACAGCUCCAGGUAGAAGGAAAAGUGCCACUGGCUGCAAGAACUGAAUGAGUAAUUUGUGAUGAAUAAUUCAUGGGAGCAAUGCUGCCUUUUUUCCAGAAUGCGAGCUGUCUGUAGGAAAAGGCUAGGUUUUUCCCAUAGAACCUUCUUAUUUGGAAACAUUUAUUGAACAAUCUCUGAGAAGAGAAAAUCUUGGUCUGCAGCUUAUUAGUGAGUUGUUUGUUGUGAGUGUUUGAUGGUCCAAAUCCAGACUGCCUUGCGUACAUGCAUGCAGCUCACAUGGGCCUGAUUAAAGUCCAUCUAAAGUCAGAGGGAGCCCAGGGUGGCCCGUGCAGUGUCUUCUUCUCAGGAGCAGGUUUCUCCCACUCAUUGCACCCAGGUGCAGGUAUCCACUGUGCUUCAGUGUUGGGCUCAGAACUGGUCAAUUUGAAGAACAAAUCAAUUAAUUGUCAGCAUCCUCUAGUAACAAGUACAAGUGAGCUUCAGGCAGCGUCCAUAUAAACUCACAAUUGUUAUACAGGUUAUAGAGUUUAAAAGGUCUUGUGAAAUCAUCGUGUUGGGCAGAGGAGACAAGACAGCCUUGUAUGUAAAGGACUUAAAUUAUGGAGAGUACUUAUUUUUUUAAAGCACUUCUAAGCACAGUGACUGCUUUUUUUCCGUGCUUCUACACCAGUUCUGCUCUUUCCAGUUUUAAUUGUACUGAGUGGCUUUACUGUUGACUCCAAACCCUUGGAGCAGUCAGCAGGAAGUGAGCACUCAGACAUGUGAGAGGACUUGGA